UGGACUAUGGUACGGGCUAUGGUAU
This 25-nucleotide non-coding RNA is filed under the name Mus musculus (house mouse). Lineage: Eukaryota; Metazoa; Chordata; Mammalia; Rodentia; Muridae. The record is from RNAcentral.